This 324-nucleotide ribosomal RNA is filed under the name uncultured eukaryote. RNAcentral describes it as "partial 18S ribosomal RNA". It matches the Rfam family "Eukaryotic small subunit ribosomal RNA", at positions 1470 to 1796 of the family's 1831-position model. The record is from RNAcentral.
CCCUUAGAUGCUCUGGGCCGCACGCGCGCUACACUGGUCGAUGCAACGAGUUUCUUUCCUUGGCCGACAGGCCUGGGCAAUCUUUGAACAUCGAUCGUGAUCGGGAUAGAUUCUUGUAAUUUUUGAUCUUAAACGAGGAAUUCCUAGUAAACGCAAGUCAUCAGCUUGCAUUGAUUACGUCCCUGCCCUUUGUACACACCGCCCGUCGCACCUACCGAUUGAAUGGUCCGGUGAAAUCUCCGGACUGGCGUGAGUCGGAGCAAUCUGACAAACGCCGGAAAGUUGAUUAAACCUUACCAUUUAGAGGAAGGUGAAGUCGUANCA